RNAcentral lists this ribosomal RNA (440 nucleotides) under uncultured bacterium. Its description in RNAcentral is "partial 16S ribosomal RNA". It matches the Rfam family "Bacterial small subunit ribosomal RNA", at positions 338 to 795 of the family's 1533-position model. The record is from RNAcentral.
CCUACGGGUGGCAGCAGUGGGGGAUAUUGCACAAUGGGGGAAACCCUGAUGCAGCGACGCCGCGUGGGUGAAGAAGCGCCUCGGCGCGUAAAGCCCUGUCAGCAGGGAAGAAAAUGACGGUACCUGAAGAAGAAGCCCCGGCUAACUACGUUCCAGCAGCCCCGGUAAUACGUAGGGGGCAAGCGUUAUCCGGAUUUACUGGGUGUAAAGGGGGCGCAGACGGCGAUGCAAGCCAGGAGUGAAAGCCCGGGGCCCAACCCCGGGACUGCUCUUGAAACUGCGUGGCUAGAGUGCAGGAGGGGCAGGCGGAAUUCGUGGGGUAGCGGUGAAAUGCGUAGAUAUCAGGAGGAACACCGGUGGCGAAGGCGGCCUGCUGGACUGCAACUGACGUUGAGGCCCGAAAGCGUGGGGAGCAAACAGGAUUAGAUACCCUAGUAGUC